Asparagus officinalis (garden asparagus) is the source of this 2144-nucleotide long non-coding RNA. RefSeq lists it as uncharacterized. The transcript has 5 exons. The record is from RefSeq and is a predicted model, not a curated record. Lineage: Eukaryota; Viridiplantae; Streptophyta; Magnoliopsida; Asparagales; Asparagaceae.
AAAAUAUCCCUGCAAAAAUGAAAAUUACCUAAAUUAGCGACAAAAUCACUGGUAUGCACAAUGUGAUAGAUAAAUAGAGUUUUAGGUUACCCAAUUGUUGACAACAUUGCCAACUAUGAUUGCCCAUGUCGGAACUUCUGAUAGCGACAGAAGAAGAGGCAGAAAUUUGCUCGCAUUCUUAGAUGGAUUCUCCAUCUUUCCUGCCUGAAUGAGCCUCAACUCAGCCUGGCUGAUGAUGGGGAGACUAGUUUCAUGGGAUUAAUUUGCUCGCAUUCUUAGAUGGAUUCUCCAUCUUUCAAAACACUUAAAAGAUUUAUGGGAUUAAUUUCAAAACCAGAAGAUUUGGGAGACUAGUUUCAAAACAUAAAAUAUUUUGGACGACUAAUGUUGGAAAAAAAAACCCUUUACCUACAUAUGCCUCUUGGUUAAAUAGACGCUCUCACUUCGUCUUUUUAAAAAAGAUUUAGCGACCGGUGUUACUUUUUGAUAAUAAAAAAAGUUGAUAAUAUCCUUGUUUAAAUAGAAAUUCCUACUCUCUGUCUUCUUCAAAAAGUCUAGCUUUGAAAGAUCUAAAUCUUUCACAUGACAAUCACAUGUUAGUAGUGGAUUCGGAUUAGGACUGAAAUAGUUUGGUUAGUGUACUGGACUUUUUUUUGAAUGAUUUUAACUUUUGAAUGGAUUAUUUGAGUUAAAUAUUAACAACCAUAAUUAUUCUUUAAUGAAAAACAUAAUUACUGUUUAAUUAAUAGUUUUCUAUAAUUACAAUUUAUGAUUAAAUUUUUACUACUGAUUUUUUUAUUUGGUACAACAAUGGCCAUUAGAGAAGAGUAAUUUAAUUUGUUUGAUUAUUUGUUCAAUCAACUAAAAUAAAGACUAUUAAACUUAUGACGAUUUAAGAGAUAUUAAAUUAAUUAAUAAGUUUUCCUAUUAUACAUAUGAGAGAAGUUCCUGAUAAGUCAUGGAUUGAUAUUCCUAUAUUGAAAAGAAGAGCGAAAGGUGAUACUCGAUAUCGAGACAGAUGAGAAGCAUUCCUUGAAUAUGCAUAUGCUAAUCUGAGGAAGAUAGAGAACGAGGACUCUUGUUCAGCUUGCUCUUGAUGAAAACACGGAUGAUACUGAUGACCCAAAUGAGACCGAAGGAGAAAUUUCUCUUAAUUACUCAUACCCUCAGAAUGUCAAUUUUAAUAUGUAUACUUCACAAAUUCGACUUGAUAUUUGUAAUGUAGGAGAUUGAAUACAAAGAUCCUUAUGCAAAUUCGACUUGAUAUCUGUAAUGUAGGAGAUUAAAUACAAAGAUCCUUAUGCAAAUUCGACUUGAUAUCUUGUAUGCAUUUAUUAAAUAUUUCAAUUAUGUUAGAUUAACAAUUUAAGUUGCAGAUGAGCCAAAGAGUUAGGAGGCUAUCUUUUCCUCGGGAUCGAGAAGGUCCAUCAUCCUGAUCGUCCUCACGACCAUCUCGGAGUCAGUUAUCUCUACAUGGGACCAUCUCGGAGUCAGUUAUCUCUACAUGGAUCCUCACCAAUUGAAGAUAUUGCGGGGACAUCUCAAAUGGGUACACCGCAACAUCAAGAGCAUUACCAGAUAUAGACAAUGCUUGCGAUGGAUCUGGUGAUGAUGAGAUCGAGCACGAGAGGAUGUCCGGAUCUUCUCAGUCAGAGAUGGCAUGUCUCCGCUCAUGGACUCCGUCAGUAUCUCGCAUCCCUCUACCAGAAAAAGCUAUUGAAUUACAAAAAAAAUAUGAUAUGAACUAAAAAUUGAAGAGAGAUGAUAUUAAAAGAAAGGACCGUGCUAUAAAACAGAAACUAGAUAAAGCUAUGUCAGAUCUAAUGAGGGAAAAAGGCCAAAAAGAUGAUGAGUGAGUGGUGAGUUAGACUUUUUGGUAACUUUUGUGGACUUUUGGAUUGUGUUGAACAUAUUAUGAUUUCCUAAUUAUGUGGACUUUUGGAUUGUGUUGAACAUAUUAUGACCUCCUGAUUAUGUGGACUUUUGGAUUAUGUUAAACAUAUUAUGACCUCCUGAUUAUGUGGGCUUUAGGAUUGUGAUGAACAUAUUAUGACCUCCUGAUUAUGUAUAUAUGUGAAUUGUUAAAUGUUAAUAUUAUUGGAUGUGAAUCGAUGAAUGUAAAUGUUAAUAUUGUUGGAUGUGAA